This 636-nucleotide ribosomal RNA is filed under the name Triticum aestivum (bread wheat). RNAcentral's name for it is "partial small subunit ribosomal RNA". Lineage: Eukaryota; Viridiplantae; Streptophyta; Magnoliopsida; Poales; Poaceae. The record is from RNAcentral.
AUGGAUUCGCCCGCCCGAGAGAUGCAGGAGAUGGACGAGUUCGUGCUGGUCCCGCACGCCGCGGACCUCUGGUCGUACCAACUCGACGAGGACGACGAUGCCCACGAGAGCGAUGCGCGCUUCUUCGCCGGCAACGACGAGAAGACGAUCGACGUGAACCACUUCGCCUCCGAGCCCACGCCCAACGCCGCACUGCAGUGCGCCACGACGGAGCCGCCGGCGCCGUCCGGCUCUGACUCUGAGAGCGAGGACUCAGUUGCCGACGAGGAGGAAGCGGUCGACGGCCUGUCGGAGAAGGCGUCGGAUGCUGACGAGGACGGGGAGGUGGUUGUUGCAGAUCAGGAGCCAGAGUGCAAGGAGUGGGAAGGCGAUCACGGCCACGGGUGGCAGCAGCACGCGGUCGGCGUGAUCUGCUCCGUGGGGCUGGCGGCGGCGGCCACCGGCCUGGCACUGCUUCUCGGCGGCCAGCAGCAGACGCCGCACAAGGUCCACUUCCGGGCCGCCGGUGAUCGCAAGGUGACUAAGGUUUCAGCAAGGCGAGACGCGAGGCUAGAACAGGGGAUGUCGGUGCCGCGGUUUGAGCAUGCGCCGGCCAUGAUCUCAUUCGGGGGUUCCUACGGCGGGCACCUGUUUUGA